Molecule: ribosomal RNA, 319 nt
Filed under: uncultured eukaryote
Lineage: Eukaryota
Description: partial 18S ribosomal RNA
Rfam family: Eukaryotic small subunit ribosomal RNA
Source: RNAcentral
CCCUUAGAUGGUCUGGGCGGCACGCGCGCUACAAUGAUGCAUUCAAAAAGUCUUCUGACCUUAGAAGGUUGGGUAUUCUCCAAAGUGCAUCGUGAUGGGAAUAGUUUAUUGCAAUUUUUAAUCUUGAACGAGGAAUUCCUAGUAAGUACAGGUCAUCAACUUGUGUUGAUUACGUCCCUGCCCUUUGUACACACCGCCCGUCGCUCCUACUGAUUGAGUGUCUCGGUGAAUUCUUUGAUCUUCUGUCGAUUCAGUUCACUGGUCCGACGGUGGAAAGUUGAAUGAACUUCGUCACUUAGAGGAAGGAGAAGUCGUAACA